RNAcentral lists this ribosomal RNA (253 nucleotides) under uncultured bacterium. RNAcentral's name for it is "partial 16S ribosomal RNA". It matches the Rfam family "Bacterial small subunit ribosomal RNA", at positions 524 to 776 of the family's 1533-position model. The record is from RNAcentral.
UACGGAGGGGGCUAGCGUUGUUCGGAAUUACUGGGCGUAAAGCGCACGUAGGCGGCUAUUCAAGUCAGAGGUGAAAGCCCGGGGCUCAACCCCGGAAUUGCCUUUGAAACUAGAUAGCUAGAAUCACGGAGAGGUAAGUGGAAUUCCGAGUGUAGAGGUGAAAUUCGUAGAUAUUCGGAAGAACACCAGUGGCGAAGGCGGCUUACUGGACGUGAAUUGACGCUGAGGUGCGAAAGCGUGGGGAGCAAACAGG